UACGUAGGGUGCAAGCGUUAAUCGGAAUUACUGGGCGUGAAGCGUGCGCAGGCGGUUUUGUAAGUCUGACGUGAAAUCCCCGGGCUCAACCUGGGAAUUGCGUUGGAGACUGCAAGGCUAGAGUUUGGCAGAGGGGGGUAGAAUUCCACGUGUAGCAGUGAAAUGCGUAGAUAUGUGGAGGAACACCGAUGGCGAAGGCAGCCCCCUGGGAUAACACUGACGCUCAUGCACGAAAGCGUGGGGAGCAAACAGG
This 253-nucleotide ribosomal RNA is filed under the name uncultured bacterium. Its description in RNAcentral is "partial 16S ribosomal RNA". It matches the Rfam family "Bacterial small subunit ribosomal RNA", at positions 524 to 776 of the family's 1533-position model. The record is from RNAcentral.